This is a long non-coding RNA of Perca fluviatilis (European perch), 386 nucleotides long. RefSeq lists it as uncharacterized. Lineage: Eukaryota; Metazoa; Chordata; Actinopteri; Perciformes; Percidae. The transcript is spliced from 3 exons. The record is from RefSeq and is a predicted model, not a curated record.
GUUUGUGUUGUUACCUUGGUCAUCAUUUAUUAUAUUAUUGAUUAAAACGCUUUGUGUCACAUGAAAGACAGUAGAAAACUGACUUGCUCAUGUGCAGCAGCUCUGGGGCAAUAUUGAUUUUUUGUCAGUAGGUGGCAGUAGUGGCUUCGCUAGGUUAGUGCCUGGUGCUGUUAACGAGAAGGAAGUUAGCACAGUCUGAGCAUGAGACCAUGGCAGCAAAAAAGAAAGCCGAUAUUCAUCCAUGACGGCCCUUUUACUGUGUUUACAGCAGCCAGAGAGUAGUUGCAGCCAUGCAUGGUGAUCUAGGAAAGUGGUUCCCUUGAAGAACUACCCAGCUAGAUAAACAUUGAGGAUUGCAAUCUAGGUCAAAGCCCAUCUGCAGAGGU